AUGUGCCAGAAACUGACUUCGAUCUCUUCGAAAUUCUGGUGGGGCGCAGCGAAUGGUGAAAGGAAGGUGCAUUGGAUAGCAUGGGAUAAAAUGUGUAUGGCCAAGCGGGAUGGGGGUCUUGGGUUUAGAGAUCCGGAGGCCUUCAACCAAGCCCUACUAGCUAAACAAGCAUGGAGGCUCCUACAGUCCCCGUCAUGUUUAUGUGCAAGGGUGCUCAAAACUAGAUACUUUCAAGAUGACAGCAUCAUGACAGCGACGUGUCCGGCCAGGGCUUCCUACACUUUUAGGAGUUUUUUGCAUGGGCGUGAUCUGCUGCGGGAAGGCUCUAUAUGGCGUAUAGGGGAUGGACGAAAUGUAAAUAUCCAUCAUGCCAAUUGGAUUCCCAUGGAAGGAAGCAUGCGACCAUUGGGUCAGGUGUAUAGGCAAGGAAUUACUCGUGUUGCUGAUUUGCUAACACCAUGCGGAAGAAAGUGUGAUAACAUGAAGCUACAGAGCAUGUUUACCCAUAGCGAUAUAAACGAUAUCAAGCAAAUGAAGGUAGGUGGACCAUGGAUGGAUGAUUACCAAGCUUGGAACUAUACGAAGUCAGGACAAUUCUCGGUGAGGUCCGCUUACCACAUGAGGAUGAGGCUCAGCAAGGUGGCAACCGGCCAAGCCCCUCAUCCUCUGUCAAGAACCAUCAAGGAUGGAUGGCUUUAUGGAAUACGAACGCGCCAAACAAAGCGAAGAUCCACAUGUGGCGUCUCAUGCGGAAUGGAUUGGCUGUUGGUGCGGAGCUAUACCGCAGAAAGGUAA
This 795-nucleotide ribosomal RNA is filed under the name Triticum aestivum (bread wheat). RNAcentral's name for it is "partial small subunit ribosomal RNA". The record is from RNAcentral. Lineage: Eukaryota; Viridiplantae; Streptophyta; Magnoliopsida; Poales; Poaceae.